ACUCAAAUGAAUUGACGGGGGCCCGCACAAGCGGAGGAACAUGUGGUUUAAUUCGAUGAUACGCGAGGAACCUUACCCGGGCUUGAAAGUUAGCGACUGGUGUGGAAACAUGCCAUCCCUUCGGGGCGCGAAACUAGGUGCUGCAUGGUUGUCGUCAGCUCGUGCCGUGAGGUGUCGGCUUAAGUGCCAUAACGAGCGCAACCCUUGCCAUUAGUUACCAGCAGUUAGAUGGGGACUCUAAUGGGACUGCCACCGUAAGGUGUGAGGAAGGUGGGGAUGACGUCAAAUCAGCACGGCCCUUACGUCCGGGGCGACACACGUGUUACAAUGGGAAGUACAGAGGGUUGCUACACCGCGAGGUGAUGCUAAUCUCACAAAACUUUUCUCAGUUCGGAUCGGAGUCUGCAACUCGACUCCGUGAAGCUGGAUUCGCUAGUAAUCGCUCAUCAGCCAUGGAGCGGUGAAUACGUUCCCGGGCCUUGUACACACCGCCCGU
Molecule: ribosomal RNA, 496 nt
Filed under: uncultured bacterium
Lineage: Bacteria
Description: bacterial SSU rRNA
Rfam family: Bacterial small subunit ribosomal RNA
Source: RNAcentral